UCACCCAUUGCUUCCGCACCUUAUUUUCUACUUUGAUUCAAGAAGAACACAUGAAAAUGCCAUCAUUUGGUAUCAGAGCUUUUGGUUCUUCAAGAUGAGUAGCUUGGUCUUUUAAAUUUUCAGUUCUUCUUUAUUUCAUAUUGUCAUUUAAAUUCCAUACUUGUCUUGCUGUUUUUUUACUUUUUAAAUUGUUCUUGGUGUGCUUAUGGAAGAUCCAACCGAAGCACAAUUGUUCAAUUGAUCUUGAACAAAUUCUGUGCAGCUUGUGAUAGGAUUCCUUACACCAUUGAGUGGCUGUUUUCUUUUAGGAAUUUGAGUCCUUAUUGCUUUCUUAAUUUUGCUUCAUUUUAUGCUUUGAGUCUUU
RNAcentral lists this long non-coding RNA (364 nucleotides) under Phaseolus vulgaris (common bean). RNAcentral's name for it is "long non-coding RNA (PVUL_LNC003412)". Lineage: Eukaryota; Viridiplantae; Streptophyta; Magnoliopsida; Fabales; Fabaceae. The record is from RNAcentral.